This 459-nucleotide ribosomal RNA is filed under the name uncultured Lysobacterales bacterium. Its description in RNAcentral is "bacterial SSU rRNA". It matches the Rfam family "Bacterial small subunit ribosomal RNA", at positions 341 to 792 of the family's 1533-position model. Lineage: Bacteria; Pseudomonadati; Pseudomonadota; Gammaproteobacteria; Lysobacterales. The record is from RNAcentral.
ACGGGAGGCAGCAGUGGGGAAUAUUGGACAAUGGGCGCAAGCCUGAUCCAGCAAUGCCGCGUGGGUGAAGAAGGCCUUCGGGUUGUAAAGCCCUUUUGUACGGGAAGAAAUCCUGUCGGUUAAUACCCGGCGGGGAUGACGGUACCGUAAGAAUAAGCACCGGCUAACUUCGUGCCAGCAGCCGCGGUAAUACGAAGGGUGCAAGCGUUAAUCGGAAUUACUGGGCGUAAAGCGUGCGUAGGUGGUUCGUUAAGUCUGUCGUGAAAGCCCUGGGCUCAACCUGGGAAUGGCGAUGGAUACUGGCGAGCUAGAGUGUGAUAGAGGAUGGCGGAAUUCCCGGUGUAGCGGUGAAAUGCGUAGAGAUCGGGAGGAACAUCUGUGGCGAAGGCGGCCAUCUGGAUCAACACUGACACUGAGGCACGAAAGCGUGGGGAGCAAACAGGAUUAGAUACCCUGGUA